Long non-coding RNA from Anguilla rostrata (American eel), 1096 nucleotides. RefSeq lists it as uncharacterized. Lineage: Eukaryota; Metazoa; Chordata; Actinopteri; Anguilliformes; Anguillidae. The transcript is spliced from 2 exons. The record is from RefSeq and is a predicted model, not a curated record.
CUCGCCGUCGACAUGGCUGAUUCUCCCGCCAGCUCGGCACUUUUUCAGUGUCGUCAUGGUCUUCUUGAUGUCAAAAAAAAGUAAAACUUUAAUUAAAUUAAAUUAAAUUAAAUUAAAUUAAAUUAAAAUAAAUGAAACUCAAAUGCCACCGGUACAACCAGUCCCACAACUUAAAGGGAUGAGCAUCAUCUCCACUGCUAUAGUCCAGCACCGGGGAAGCAAGGACCGUUUCUCUGAGCAGCAGUGCGCCUUCUCAACCUGAUCUGGUCUGAUCUCUCCCUCCUUCCCUCUCCCCACUUCCCUGGUUUGUAGGGUGCACUUUGUUCACAGGAGUAUCCGCGCAAAAAAGAGUAAAUAAAUAAAUAAAUAAAUAAUAGGAAAGCCGCUGUUGCUAGCGGGAAGAGAAGCAAAGCGGUCUCCUGGAUUCCUAUUGGCCGGCGUGCGACCACGUGAGGAGGAAUCACCAGAGUGGCUCCAACAAAUCAAGGAAAUGUUCUAAUAUUAGAAAAUGUAUCUAGGCAGUGAUCAAGCAUCUGACCUCGUAACUCCACCUUCUUUACACUUGGAUUACCAGCAUCCAGGGAACACGCUAAUUCUACAUUUGCGUGACAAAAGCAAUAAAUGUGACCAGAUUUUAAAAAUUGUCAAGUAUACCUUUAUUCUUUUUUCCCCCAAAAAAUUGUGAAACACCAACUGCCAGUCAAUCUUCAUUACUUCUGUCCCAUUUUGGAUACUUUCAGGCCGACAGUUUCUUCAUUCAUUAAAAUCACAUAACUUUCACCGCCCCGCGCAGCCAUGUUCCAGCACCGCGGAGAGCUGGGAGACACGAAUGUGGGAUAUACAAGCGUGGGGACAGGACUAGAGCGGAAACAGACGAACAAAGUCGGUAAAAGUCGGAAUCCGCGGCACGGGGGCGCAACGCGUGGACGGUGCUUCCUCCACCAGCAAACUAGCAACACGCAAUAGCCUCAGGCUGAUGGAGUUGUGAUGGUGAUUACCCUGUACCCUUUUUUCUUCUUUUGGAGAAGUCAUACAGAGGAAGAGAUGAAAAUGUAUUUGAAUAAUCUGGUAGAACAAUGAAAGAUGAAAUUACAAA